RNAcentral lists this ribosomal RNA (497 nucleotides) under uncultured bacterium. RNAcentral's name for it is "partial 16S ribosomal RNA". It matches the Rfam family "Bacterial small subunit ribosomal RNA", at positions 28 to 507 of the family's 1533-position model. The record is from RNAcentral.
GAUGAACGCUGGCGGCGUGCCUAAUACAUGCAAGUCGAGCGAACAGACGAGGAGCUUGCUCCUCUGACGUUAGCGGAGGACGGGUGAGUAACACGUGGAUAACCUACCUAUAAGACUGGGAUAACUUCGGGAAACCGGAGCUAAUACCGGAUAAUAUAUUGAACCGCAUGGUUCAAUAGUGAAAGACGGUUUUGCUGUCACUUAUAGAUGGAUCCGCGCCGCAUUAGCUAGUUGGUAAGGUAACGGCUUACCAAGGCAACGAUGCGUAGCCGACCUGAGAGGGUGAUCGGCCACACUGGAACUGAGACACGGUCCAGACUCCUACGGGAGGCAGCAGUAGGGAAUCUUCCGCAAUGGGCGAAAGCCUGACGGAGCGACGCCGCGCGAGUGAUGAAGGUCUUCGGAUCGUAAAGCUCUGUUAUUGGGGAAGAACAGAUUUGUAAGUAACUAUGCACGUCUUGACGGUACCUAAUCAAGAAGCCACGGCUAACUACGUG